UCCCUAGUGGUUCAGUGGGUAAGACUCCGCACUACCAAUGCAGGGGGGCUGGGUUCGAUCCCCAGUUGGGGAA
Non-coding RNA from Balaenoptera acutorostrata (minke whale), 73 nucleotides. The record is from the annotation of a RefSeq genome assembly. NCBI's taxonomy places the organism in Eukaryota, Metazoa, Chordata, Mammalia, Artiodactyla, Balaenopteridae.